RNAcentral lists this unclassified non-coding RNA (223 nucleotides) under Hevea brasiliensis (rubber tree). Lineage: Eukaryota; Viridiplantae; Streptophyta; Magnoliopsida; Malpighiales; Euphorbiaceae. The record is from RNAcentral.
AAAACUCGCCUCCGCCACUCGUUUCUUGUGACUCUCUGCCCUCUCUUUCUUUCCUUCGAAGAAACAAACCCAAGCCCAACAAGAAGAAGAACAACUCUCAACUCCUCUGUUUCUAAGCUGUCUUUUGAUCAUCUGAUAGAUAUUCCUUUCUAUUCUAAUCUUUUUGGCUCGUGAUUCUUGUUCCCAUGGAUUGGUUUCGCGGGGAUUUCAUUGGUUGUGGUAG